GAUGAACGCUGGCGGCGUGCCUAAUACAUGCAAGUCGAGCGAACGGACGAGAAGCUUGCUUCUCUGAUGUUAGCGGCGGACGGGUGAGUAACACGUGGAUAACCUACCUAUAAGACUGGGAUAACUUCGGGAAACCGGAGCUAAUACCGGAUGAUAUUUUGAACCGCAUGGUUCAAAAGUGAAAGACGGUCUUGCUGUCACUUAUAGAUGGAUCCGCGCUGCAUUAGCUAGUUGGUAAGGUAACGGCUUACCAAGGCAACGAAGCAUAGCCGACCUGAGAGAGUGAGCGGCCAAACUGGAACUGAGACACGGUCCAGACUCGUACGAGAGGCAGCCGUGGGGAAUAUUGGACAAUGGGCGCAAUCCUGAUCCAGCAAUACCGCGUGGGUGAAGAAGGCCUUCGGGUGGUAAAGCCCUUUUGUUGGGAAAGAAAAGCAGCAGGUUAAUACGCCGCUGUUCUGACGGUACCCAAAGAAUAAGCACCGGCUAACUUCGUG
Molecule: ribosomal RNA, 497 nt
Filed under: uncultured bacterium
Lineage: Bacteria
Description: partial 16S ribosomal RNA
Rfam family: Bacterial small subunit ribosomal RNA
Source: RNAcentral